This is a long non-coding RNA of Ficedula albicollis (Collared flycatcher), 703 nucleotides long. RefSeq lists it as uncharacterized. The transcript has 3 exons. NCBI's taxonomy places the organism in Eukaryota, Metazoa, Chordata, Aves, Passeriformes, Muscicapidae. The record is from RefSeq and is a predicted model, not a curated record.
GAGCACAACAGGGCAGGAACCUCCUCCAGCAGCAGGUGAUGGAACAUUCUGGUGUUGGGUUUGGUGGCAUUUGUGGUCAGUUCUGGUUGGUUCCAACACAGGUGGGGCAAUAACAAGGUUGGUUCCAGCACAGGUGGGGCAAUGACAAGGUUGGUUCUUGUUGGUUCCAGCUCAGGUGGGACAAUAAUGAGGUUGGUUCUGUUUGCUUCUGGUUGGUUCCAGCACAGGUGGUGCAAUAAUGAGGUUGGUUCUGUUUGCUUCUGGUUGGUUCUAGUUGGUUCCAGCACAGGUGGGACAAUAAUGAGGUUGGUUCUGGUUGGUUCCAGCACAGGUGGGACAAUAAUGAGGUUGGUUCUGGUUGGUUCCAGCACAGGUGGGACAAUAAUGAGGUUGGUUCUGGUUGGUUCCAGCACAGGUGGGACAAUAAUGAGGUUGGUUCUGGUUGGUUCCAGCACAGGUGGGACAAUAAUGAGGUUGGUUCUGGUUGGUUCCAGCACAGGUGGGACAAUAAUGAGGUUGGUUCUGGUUGGUUCCAGCACAGGUGGGACAAUAAUGAGGUUGGUUCUGGUUGGUUCCAGCACAGGUGGUGCAAUAAUGAGGUUGGUUCUGUUUGCUUCUGGUUGGUUCCAGCACAGGUGGUGCAAUAAUGAGGUUGGUUCUGUUUAGUUCUGGUUGGUUCCAGCACAGGUGGGGCAAUAAUGAG